Long non-coding RNA from Bos taurus (domestic cattle), 1354 nucleotides. Lineage: Eukaryota; Metazoa; Chordata; Mammalia; Artiodactyla; Bovidae. The record is from Ensembl.
GCUCUUUAGGUCUCCUCAGGCCACCUCGGACCUAGACUAGUUUUCCAGAAGGUCCUACAUGAACCAUUUCUUCAGAAUUCUGAGUUUGCUAGUGUGUGGACUUGGCAGAGAAGAGCAAACUAAAGAGAUUUGUUCUGGGCAGUGGUGGUCAUCAGACUGUGAACUUCAGAGGUUCGGGGUCACAUCUGUGGAAUUCUCCCUUCAGUGGUUUGGCACAACAUGCAAUUAGCUCUUUGAUCUGCUCUGGGUAGUGCUACUGGAGGCGUGAGGAAAUGUUGAGCAGGCAACUAGAAGGAAUUGAAGGAAGACUCCAACACACAGGAAAGGCAUGGAGAAGUGAAGCAAAGUCAAGAGUAACACACACAGGGAACGGCCCAUCUUAGGCCACAGCUUCUACAGACAGUUGAAAGGGGGCUGAGAAGGAACCAUUUCUCAGCCUCUUGUUGGUUGUCUUUUGCUAGAAAGAAUCAGGAUGCCUGCUCUCCACAGAUGACUGACCACAGAACACAGAGGGGAAGAGGGAGGGAAGGAGUUUCCACUGGGGUGCUAUAUUUCUGACCCUGCCUUGUUGACAGCAAACAGUGGCGGUGGUGGGACUUUUGGCAGGAAGCGUUCCCCUCUGGGGUCUGGGGGUGUCAGGAUGGUGCCAAGAGGUAGAGCAAGCCUGGCACCCCAGAGCCCCAGCUUCUUCCCUCUGCACCCUCGUGGAGGAGACUCCACAAGCUCUCCUGCCUCCUCCUGGGUUAGGGCAGCGGAGGGAGGACACGAGCCUGGUCUCCAGCAGGGGCCAUUUCGUUUACAUUCCCACCCCUGGGCCCUGGGAAGCCCCGAGUUCCCACACUCACUGAGGCAGGAAGGUCGCCACGGACACCUCAUCUGUCCGGGUCGCUGACUGACUACAGAUAAGCAGCAGCUGCCGCAUCCACACUGGGGUCACCUCCCAGAUUGCCCACCCUGGAACCAGGCGGACAAGGGCCGAUCUCUGCCCGCCAGUGGGGCACCCACAGGGCUUCCAGCUGAGGCCCAGUGCCUGCAGUGGGGGCUCCCUGCAGAACUCACUUUAGCAGAGCUGCCAGACGUGACCAAGGAAAGACAAAGCCUUAGAGGCACCGGCCCACAGCUGUCAAGCACUUGACAGUUUUACAGCACUCUGCUGCAGACUCUUUCUCACAUCACUCUGAUCACCACCCGUGAAGAUCUCAGAGCAGGUGUUUUUGUGUCCAUUUUGCAGAUGAGUAAACAGCUUCAGGAUGUUUGAUAGAUUUGCCCCAAGUUCUCACAGCUAGGCAGUGCUGAAAGCUGUUUUUGCACUGCCUAGUUGGUGGGUCUUUCCAUUACUACAUGCAAACAGAAC